Nelumbo nucifera (sacred lotus) is the source of this 73-nucleotide non-coding RNA. The record is from the annotation of a RefSeq genome assembly. NCBI's taxonomy places the organism in Eukaryota, Viridiplantae, Streptophyta, Magnoliopsida, Proteales, Nelumbonaceae.
CCGACCUUAGCUCAAUUGGAAGAGUGCAGGACUACAGAUCCUUUGGUUGCUGGUUCGAAUCCGGCAGGUCGGG